RNAcentral lists this ribosomal RNA (250 nucleotides) under uncultured bacterium. RNAcentral's name for it is "partial 16S ribosomal RNA". It matches the Rfam family "Bacterial small subunit ribosomal RNA", at positions 524 to 773 of the family's 1533-position model. RNAcentral also lists the same sequence under 1 other name. The record is from RNAcentral.
UACGGAGGGUGCAAGCGUUGUUCGGAAUUAUUGGGCGUAAAGGGCACGCAGGCGGUUUUUUAAGUCAGAUGUGAAAGGUACCGGCUCAACCUCGGAAGUGCAUUGGAAACUGGAUAGCUUGAGUACGGGAGAGGGUAGUGGAAUUUCGAGUGUAGGGGUGAAAUCCGUAGAUAUUCGAAGGAACACCGGUGGCGAAGGCGGCUACCUGGACCGAUACUGACGCUGAGACGCGAAAGCGUGGGGAGCAAAC